CGUGCAAGAAUGAAGGCCCUCGUGUCGUAAACUGCUUUUAUGAGUGAAGAAUAUGACGGUAACUCAUGAAUAAGCACCGGCUAACUACGUGCCAGCAGCCGCGGUCAUACGUAGGGUGCAAGCAUUAUCCGGAGUGACUGGGCGUAAAGAGUUGCGUAGGUGGUUUGUUAAGUGAAUAGUGAAAUCUGGGGGCUCAACCUUACAGACUAUUAUUCAAACUGGCAAACUCGAGAAUGGUAGAGGUAACUGGAAUUUCUUGUGUAGGAGUGAAAUCCGUAGAUAUAAGAAGGAACACCAAUGGCGUAGGCAGGUUACUGGACCAUUUCUGACACUAAUGCACGAAAGCGUGGGGAGCGAACCGGAUUAGAUACCCGGGUAGUCCACGCCGUAAACGAUGGAUACUAGCUGUUGGAGGUAUCGACCCCUUCAGUAGCGAAGCUAACGCGUUAAGUAUCCCGUCUGUGGAGUACGGUCGCAAGACUAAAACAUAAAGGAAUUGACGGGGAUCAGCACAAGCGGUGGAUCGUGUUCUUUAAUUCGAUGAUAAACGAAGAACCUUACCAGGGCUUGACAUCCAGGGAAGCAUCACGAAAGUGAAGUGUGCCUUUUGGAACCCUGUGACAGGUGUUGCAUGGCCGUCGUCAGCUCGUGUCGUGAGAUGUUUGGUUAAGUCCAUUAACGAGCGCAACCCUUGUGAAUAGUUGUAUUUUUCUAUUCAGACUGCUCUAGUAAUAGGGAGGAAGGAGGGGAUGAUGUCAGGUCAGUAUUACCCUUACGUCCUGGGCUAGAAACACGAUACAAUGGCCGGUACAAUGCGCAGCGAAGCAGCAAUGUGGAGCAAAUCGCACCAAAGCCGGUCCCAGUUCGGAUUGCACUCUGCAACUCGAGUGCAUGAAGUUGGAAUCGCUAGUAAUCGCGGAUCAGCAUGCCGCGGUGAAUACGUUCCCGGGCCUUGUACACACCGCCCGUCACACCAUGGGAGUUGGCUUUACCCGAAGGCGCUGCGCUAACUCGCAAGAGAGGCAGGCGACCACGGUAGGGUCAGCGACUGGGGUGAAGUCGUAACAAGGUA
Molecule: ribosomal RNA, 1072 nt
Filed under: uncultured Candidatus Saccharibacteria bacterium
Lineage: Bacteria; Candidatus Saccharimonadota
Description: bacterial SSU rRNA
Rfam family: Bacterial small subunit ribosomal RNA
Source: RNAcentral